Molecule: ribosomal RNA, 579 nt
Filed under: Hepatozoon canis
Lineage: Eukaryota; Apicomplexa; Hepatozoidae
Description: bacterial SSU rRNA
Rfam family: Eukaryotic small subunit ribosomal RNA
Source: RNAcentral
CUCAACUUUAUUAGAAGAGACGCAUUUAUUAGAUAAAAAGCCAAUGCAUGCUUUUACAGUAUGAAAAUUGGUGAUUUAUAAUAACUUAGCAAAUCGCAAAGUGAAAACAGGCGAUAAAUCAUUCAAGUUUCUGACCUAUCAGCUUUCGACGGUAUGGUAUUGGCUUACCGUGGCAGUGACGGUUAACGGGGGAUUAGGGUUCGAUUCCGGAGAGGGAGCCUGAGAAACGGCUACCACAUCUAAGGAAGGCAGCAGGCGCGCAAAUUACCCAAUUCUAACAGUUUGAGAGAGGUAGUAACAAGAAAUAACAAUACAAGGCAGUUAAAAUGCUUUGUAAUUGGAAUGAUAGAAAUUUAAACCCUUUUUAAAGUAUCAAUUGGAGGGCAAGUCUGGUGCCAGCAGCCGCGGUAAUUCCAGCUCCAAUAGCGUAUAUUAAAAUUGUUGCAGUUAAAAAGCUCGUAGUUGAAGUUCUGCUAAAAGUAACCGGUCUGCUUUUAAUAAAGGUGGUAUCUUGGUGUGUAUUUAGCAAUGAUGUCCUUUGAAGUGUUUUUUACUUUAUUGUAAUAAAGCAUAUUCAGG